UCGGGUAGGUUGCCGAUGCUCGUCGCAGACCUGCAGCAGCGGACGGCUCGCGAUCCUCGUCCGCCCAGCGACCCGCUCCCUCCUGCUCCGCAAAGAGAGCAAAAGAGAAAAAGCAAACGGGGCGAGCGAACGAGGCGGCCGCUUUCUCGAAAGCCGAUCGGAAAUUUUAAAAAGGAUAUUUCAAAAAAACCAACCUAAGCGUAUACGAACGGCGCUGCGGCUGAUAAAGGAACACGCGCGUUUGUCCCGUCCCCGCCUGUUAGCCGUGCCUGGGACGUAGUAGAAAAAAACACCACCGCCG
This 301-nucleotide ribosomal RNA is filed under the name Eledone cirrhosa (curled octopus). RNAcentral's name for it is "partial 28S ribosomal RNA". Lineage: Eukaryota; Metazoa; Mollusca; Cephalopoda; Octopoda; Eledonidae. The record is from RNAcentral.